GGAUCAGGUAGGGAUACCCGCUGAACUUAAGCAAAUCAAUAAGCGGAGGAAAAGAANCCAACAGGGAUUNCCUCAGUAACGGCGAGUGAAGCGGUAACAGCUCAAAUUUGAANUCUGGCUCUNUUAGGNUCCGAGUUGUAAUUUGUAGAAGAUGCUUUGGGUGUGGCCCUGGUCUAAGUUCCUUGGAACAGGACGUCAUAGAGGGUGAGAAUCCCGUAUGUGACUAGGUGCUUUCGCCCGUGUAAAGCUCUUUCGACGAGUCGAGUUGUUUGGGAAUGCAGCUCAAAAUGGGUGGUAAAUUUCAUCUAAAGCUAAAUAUUGGCCAGAGACCGAUAGCGCACAAGUAGAGUGAUCGAAAGAUGAAAAGCACUUUGGAAAGAGAGUUAAACAGUACGUGAAAUUGUUGAAAGGGAAGCGCUUGCAACCAGACUUAGUUGCGGCCGAUCAUCUAGGGUUCUCCCUGGUGCACUCGGUCGUAUCUAGGCCAGCAUCGGUUUGGGUGGUGGGAUAAAGGCCUUGGGAAUGUAGCUUCUUUCGGGGAGUGUUAUAGCCCUCGGUGCAAUGCCGCCUACCCGGACCGAGGACCGCGCUUCGGCUAGGAUGCUGGCGUAAUGGUUGUAAGCGACC
RNAcentral lists this ribosomal RNA (627 nucleotides) under uncultured fungus. Its description in RNAcentral is "eukaryotic LSU rRNA". It matches the Rfam family "Eukaryotic large subunit ribosomal RNA", at positions 1 to 649 of the family's 3401-position model. The record is from RNAcentral. Lineage: Eukaryota; Fungi.